GGAUGUGAGGGUGAUCUGGCUGCAACAUCUGUCACCACACUGAUUUCCAGGGUUGAUUCCGCUGAUCUGGCUGGCUAGGUGACUGUUCCCUUUCUCCUUCACUGCUCCAUGUGCCUCCCUCCUUAAGCUGGGUGCUCAAUGGGACGGCCUUCCCUCAAUAGAGACAGAUUGGUCUUUGGUAGAAGGUAUCUGAGUAGCUGCGAUCCCCUGCUAGAACUGACAAACAAGCUCACAGGGUCCAUUUGUAGGAGAAUGUAGGUAGUCAAGCUUCCAAGACUCCACACAAUAAGGCACUGCAUGCAGCAGUCUGCCUUUAAAA
Molecule: unclassified non-coding RNA, 319 nt
Organism: Erinaceus europaeus (western European hedgehog)
Lineage: Eukaryota; Metazoa; Chordata; Mammalia; Eulipotyphla; Erinaceidae
Gene: 7SK
Rfam family: 7SK RNA
About the family: 7SK was discovered as an abundant small nuclear RNA in the mid-70s but a possible function has only recently been suggested. Two independent studies have found that 7SK RNA binds the CDK9/cyclin T complex (known as elongation factor P-TEFb).
Source: Ensembl